AUUCUUCCUACUCCGUUGAAUCCUCUCCCAUCAGGUCGGAAUCAACCUCCCGUCCGGUCGCCCAACUUCCUCCAGUGUGAAAAAUUCUCUCCCUUUCUCCCACCUUCCGGCCGGUUCGCUGUUCUUCCUUCCUCUGUCCGGCUGGUUUGUUGUCCCUCUUUCUUCUGUCCGGCCCGUUUGCCGUAGUCCGAGGUUGCGCGCUUUGGUGGGACAAGUUUUCCGGACCGUUGUCCGAGGUCGCGUGCUUCGGUGGGAGAAUUGUUAAGGACCUUCGUCCAAGGUGAACAUCAUGUAAUUGGUUUAGAAGAGGGCUCUAUGCUGGAGGAUUUUUACCGGAAUCUAUCGAAAAAAUGGAAUCAGGUAUGAUUGCACGGUGUAGGAGUGAGCAACAGAGUGUGCCUCCCCGAAGCACGGUUGGACGCAGAUAUGUUACUCAUCUUUUAUAAUUAAGUAGUAUUUGUUCAUCUUUAAUCAAUUUUAUUGUAAAAUGCAGUCACAGUUGUGCCUUACGAAAGAAUGCAGCUUGUAAGCAUUUAUGUAAUCAUAUUCAACACAUCUAAAAGCAUGUUGUUUAUAUAAAAACUUAUACUAGGUAUGAUGCAUAUAUCCUUGAAUUUCGACAUGUAAGAUUGGUAAGAAGUUACCUACCUUUUGUUUAUCGGACAUGCUAGUAAUAAUUCUUUCAUGAUAUCGGCAUACAACAACACCCUGGUAUUUUGUUGCGAUUUUGUCUGUAGGUAGUAAGUAUUCACCUCCACAAUUUUAUUGUAGCGCAGUGCAGUACAAAUCACUGAAGAGAUUGUACAUAUGUGUAAUGGGGAUGUAACGUAUUGAAGGUGUUUAAAGAUGUUCACUCAUUCUUUACACGUCACUGCCAGUAUCCUCUAGCAAAUUGGUUUAGUUAGGUGUACUGUGAUCGAUGCAUUGAAAGUCCAUAGCCUGUGGCAUUUACUGCAUCAUCUACCUUGCUGUGGUGAAUAGAUGCGGUUGUUUUUUUAAGUACUUGGAUGGCAUGAUAGAUAACUGUGUACAUACUCGGUUGAAUAAGAUGGGUACCUAAGUUUUUUUUUUUAUUUAUGAAGAAAAGUUUUAUUACCCUAUAGAAUUGAAAUUAUUUACAUCUAACAGAAUUUUCAUUCCUAUUUUUAUAUUUGUAAUGCGUAGGCGAGACCGAAUGUUCGAGAGUGAAUGAAGAUGGCACAGGUGGCAUCCUUAUUCCCGACGAAAAUACUAGUAUGAUUUUAACGUAGAGAUGCAU
Molecule: long non-coding RNA, 1258 nt
Organism: Andrographis paniculata
Lineage: Eukaryota; Viridiplantae; Streptophyta; Magnoliopsida; Lamiales; Acanthaceae
Exons: 3
Source: RefSeq, a predicted model, not a curated record